RNAcentral lists this ribosomal RNA (1429 nucleotides) under human gut metagenome. RNAcentral describes it as "bacterial LSU rRNA". It matches the Rfam family "Bacterial large subunit ribosomal RNA", at positions 1117 to 2555 of the family's 2925-position model. The record is from RNAcentral.
CAUCCUUCAAAGAGUGCGUAACAGCUCACUAGUCGAGUGACCCUGCGCCGAAAAUGUACCGGGGCUAAGCAUACUACCGAAGCUGCGGAUUCAACUUUAGAGUUGAGUGGUAGGGGAGCGUUGCAUGCACGUAGAAGCCGUACCGUAAGGAGCGGUGGAGAGCAUGGAAGAGAGAAUGCCGGUGUGAGUAGCGAGAUGUAGGUGAGAAUCCUACACACCGAUAGCCCAAGGAUUCCAGGGGAAGGUUCGUCCGCCCUGGGUAAGUCGGGACCUAACGCGAGGCCGAAAGGCGUAGUGGAUGGAAAACAGGCAGAUAUUCCUGUACCCGCGAUGGAAAUGAAGGAAUGACGGAGAAGGCUAGUGUGAGCCACUGAACGGAUUGUGGUCGAAGCAUAUAGCAGGCUGACAGUGAAAUGCGUCAGCGGGAUGUAAGAUGUGACAGGUAAGGGAACGUCCUUGGACAAGUACUGAAGCACAUGAUGCCAGCUUCCAAGAAAAGUUUCUAGUGAUAAUUCCAUAGCGGCCCGUACCAAAACCGACACAGGUGGGCAAGGAGAGAAUCCUGAGGUGAGCGAGAGAACUGUUGCCAAGGAACUCGGCAAAAUGACUCCGUAAGUUAGCGAUAAGGAGUGCUCUUGUAAAAGAGAGCCGCAGUGAAGAGGCCCAAGCGACUGUUUAACUAAAACACAGCUCUCUGCAAAGUCGCAAGACGAAGUAUAGGGGGUGACGCCUGCCCGGUGCUGGAAGGUUAAGAGGAUUUGUCAUCCGCAAGGAGAAGCAAUGAAUUGAAGCCCCAGUGAACGGCGGCCGUAACUAUAACGGUCCUAAGGUAGCGAAAUUCCUUGUCAGGUAAGUUCUGACCCGCACGAAAGGCGUAACGAUUUGGGCGCUGUCUCGGCAGCAGACUCGGUGAAAUCUUAGUACCUGUGAAAAUGCAGGUUACCCGCAACUAGACGGAAAGACCCCAUGGAGCUUUACUGUAGCCUGAUAUUGAAUUUUGAUCAAAGAUGUACAGGAUAGGUGGGAGGCGAAGAGACGUGUACGCCAGUAUACGAGGAGCCGCUGUUGGGAUACCACUCUUGUUUGAUUGAAGUUCUAACCUGCACCCAUGAACUGGGUGAGGGACCGUGUCAGGUGGGCAGUUUGACUGGGGCGGUCGCCUCCUAAAGAGUAACGGAGGCGCCCAAAGGUACGCUCAGAUUGGAUGGAAAUCAAUCGACGAGUGCAAAUGCAGAAGCGUGCUUGACUGUGAGACAAACAAGUCGAACAGGGACGAAAGUCGGGAUUAGUGAUCCGGCGGUGCCGAAUGGAAGGGCCGUCGCUCAACGGAUAAAAGCUACCCUGGGGAUAACAGGCUGAUCUCGCCCAAGAGUUCACAUCGACGGGGAGGUUUGGCACCUCGAUGUCGGCUCAUCGCAUCCUGGGGCUG